This is a long non-coding RNA of Camellia sinensis, 911 nucleotides long. RefSeq lists it as uncharacterized. The record is from RefSeq and is a predicted model, not a curated record. NCBI's taxonomy places the organism in Eukaryota, Viridiplantae, Streptophyta, Magnoliopsida, Ericales, Theaceae.
CACACACACAACACAUUUUCUAGGGCACACAGAGAGGGUGGAGUGAAGGAGGCGAUUUGGAGACCCUCAACAGCGAAGACAUCUGACGAAGCUUGCCACAGUCGAUCAGCACCGGAGUACACAUCUGCGGCGUCGAAAAAGACUCGCGAAGCUUGCCAAAAUCGAACGCUUGGGGCAUACAUCUGCGGCGUCGGACAACAACUCGUCGUCUGAAACACCACCGAUCUUCAGUUAGCUACGUCGUUGUUGGUAAUGGCUUCCAUACGUACUUCUCCGCGUACCUAAUCCAAAAACAAAGGCAUUGUUCCAGAGAAGUCAAGCAGUCUUGAAGAGACACAGAAUUAGUUCAGCCACAAGGCCUCAUGGGAUAGUGACUCCAUCCGAAUUUUCCUCUAGUUGAUUGCAAAUGAAAUUACAAAAGGAAAUCGGCCAUUCCUAGUCCUCAGCCAAGCAGGGUACAAGUCGUUGGCAAGGAAAUUUGAGAAAAAAACAGGAAGAAAACAUGGUCUCAAACAGUUGAAGAAUAAAUACAUGAAUCUGAAAAAAGAGUGGCAAACGUGGACAAAGUUGAUGGAUUCAAGAAAAUGAGUGUUAGGGACAGGGUUUGACAGCAAAAUUGGUAUGUUUCAGGCAUCUGAGGAGUGGUGGGACAAGAUGGAAUCGAUAAACAAGGUGUGUGCCAAGUUCAGGAAAAAAACUUUGGAACAUCGUGACUUGAUGGAGAUGGUCUUUACCGGGGCAUCAGCUACUGGUAAGCACCAUUGGACCCCGGGAGAGAAACUUCUUGAAGCUACUGAUGACUCAUCUGAUUCUGUGCACAGUUUGGGAGCGCAGCCAUUUGCUGAUCCGAUAUUCGCAUGAGUACAGGACGUGGAUUCAAAUUCUUCACUCGAACCUGUUCCGACUGAAAA